This 572-nucleotide ribosomal RNA is filed under the name bacterium DYS1D. Its description in RNAcentral is "bacterial SSU rRNA". It matches the Rfam family "Bacterial small subunit ribosomal RNA", at positions 341 to 904 of the family's 1533-position model. The record is from RNAcentral.
GGGGGGGGCAGCAGUGGGGAAUAUUUGGCAAUGGGGGCAAGCCUGAUCCACCCCUACCGCGUGGGUGAAGAAGGCCUUCGGGUUGUAAAGCCCUUUUUUUGGGAAAGAAAUCCAGCUGGCUAAUACCCGGUUGGGAUGACGGUUCCCCAAGAAUAAGCACCGGCUAACUUCGUGCCAGCAGCCGCGGUAAUACGAAGGGUGCAAGCGUUUCUCGGAAUUACUGGGCGUAAAGCGUGCGUAGGUGGUUUUUUAAGUCCGUUGUGAAAACCCUGGGCUCAACCUGGGAACUGCAGUGGAUACUGGGCGACUAGAAUGUGGUAGAGGGUAGCGGAAUUCCUGGUGUAGCAGUGAAAUGCGUAGAGAUCAGGAGGAACAUCCAUGGGGAAGGCAGCUACCUGGACCAACAUUGACACUGAGGCACGAAAGCGUGGGGAGCAAACAGGAUUAGAUACCCUGGUAGUCCACGCCCUAAACGAUGCGAACUGGAUGUUGGGUGCAAUUUGGCACGCAGUAUCGAAUCUAACGCGUUAAUUUCCCCGCCUGGGGAGUACGGUCGCAAGACUGAAACUCAA